CCUACGGGAGGCAGCAGUAGGGAAUUUUCGGCAAUGGGCGCAAGCCUGAACGAGCGAUGCCGCGUGAGUGAAGAAGGCCUUCGGGUCGUAAAGCUCUGUUGCGGGGGAAAAAUGGCAGCAUAAGGAAAUGGGUGCUGACUGAUGGUGCCCCGCCAGAAAGUCACGGCUAACUACGUGCCAGCAGCCGCGGUAAUACGUAGGUGGCGAGCGUUGUCCGGAAUGAUUGGGCGUAAAGGGUGCGCAGGCGGUUCUGGAAGUCUGGAGGGAAACGCAAGGGCUCAACUUAUGCAUGGCUUUGGAAACUGGAGGACUUGAGAGCAGGAGAGGGAGGUGGAACUCCAGGUGUAGCGGUAAAAUGCGUAGAUAUAUGGAAGAACACCAGUGGCGAAGGCGGCUGUCUGGCCUGUUGCUGACGCUGAGGCGCGAAAGCGUGGGGAGCAAAUAGGAUUAGAUACCCCGGUAGUC
Molecule: ribosomal RNA, 465 nt
Filed under: uncultured bacterium
Lineage: Bacteria
Description: partial 16S ribosomal RNA
Rfam family: Bacterial small subunit ribosomal RNA
Source: RNAcentral